Molecule: long non-coding RNA, 988 nt
Organism: Myotis myotis
Lineage: Eukaryota; Metazoa; Chordata; Mammalia; Chiroptera; Vespertilionidae
Exons: 3
Source: RefSeq, a predicted model, not a curated record
GGAAGAGAGCAUGGAAAGAGGAGAGUCUUAGAAUAAAUGGGCAAGAGUUGGAAGAAAAUGAGGAGAGAUCAAAGGAUGGAAAGAAGACAACUGCACUUGUGAGAAGCUGACUAUAAUGGACAUGACUAUUCAGGGAGAAGUAAUAAACCAAAGAAAAAGGACCCAAGUACAGGACUGUCCUGAGGAGGGAAAAAGAAGAGGCAGAGAAGAAUUACCUUCACAUAAAUGCCUCUGGGCCAUGAAAGUGUGCUCUGGACCUGGGGCAGGUGGCAGUGCUGGGAUGGAGUGGCUGGGACAGAUGCACAGGAAGAACGGAGGAGAGCCGCAGUCGGCCAGCCUGUCCUCACCGCGGAGAGCCUGCGCGUAUCCUUCAGGUAGACAGGAAGAAGUGGUGCAUGCAUCAGGUGCAGGUGUACAACAGGAAAAGGAAAGACAAGUAGAAUGGGCUCAAAAAACACCAAGUGCUUUCACCAUGCCAGCUAAGAUAUAAAGAAAAUGUUUGCACUGCCUCAGGGCACACUGCCCCCAACACUGCUGAUCCACAGCCCAGGACACAGCUUUCUGUGGGGAAAUGAGGACAGACAGAGAAAGUGUUUGCCAUAUGAUUCCUGUUACCAUCAAAAACAAUCAUACUGUGUGAUACAGACCAUCUGUUUAGGAUAUGGCAGACACACUUGGAAAAUCCAGAAUAAUGAGAUCUCAAAUCCAUCAUUUGUUAGAGACGUUAUUGGUCCAAGAAGAUGCCCUUUGAGUCCUCUGUGCUGAGGCGUCAUUAGAGGGAUCAGCCAGGCCUCACACCUACCUGUGCUCGACAUCUCACGCCAUAACUGCGUGUCCCUUGGCUGGCUGACCUGGGGUUGGACUGUGCUGUUGGCACAGUGCUGGCCGCCCACAAGGGUGUGGUGACAAUUGCUGAAGUAAAUGCCAUACAGCCUUCUGAGCAAUUCAAAAGAGGGAUGCUGGCCAGCUACCCAAAGCCGUGGCACAC